Molecule: ribosomal RNA, 253 nt
Filed under: uncultured bacterium
Lineage: Bacteria
Description: partial 16S ribosomal RNA
Rfam family: Bacterial small subunit ribosomal RNA
Source: RNAcentral
UACGUACUGUGCGAACGUUAUUCGGAAUCACUGGGCUUAAAGGGUGCGUAGGCGGUUCAGCAAGUCAGGUGUGAAAGCCCCCGGCCCAACCGGGGAAUUGCGCUUGAAACUGCUGAACUUGAGUGCAAUAGGGGUGUGCGGAACUUCCAGUGGAGCGGUGAAAUGUGUUGAUAUUGGAAGGAACGCCGGUGGCGAAAGCGGCACACUGGGUUGUAACUGACGCUGAGGCACGAAAGCCAGGGGAGCGAACGGG